Long non-coding RNA from Eurytemora carolleeae, 513 nucleotides. RefSeq lists it as uncharacterized. The transcript has 3 exons. NCBI's taxonomy places the organism in Eukaryota, Metazoa, Arthropoda, Copepoda, Calanoida, Temoridae. The record is from RefSeq and is a predicted model, not a curated record.
UUGGUUGAGGAUGGGUUGGAAGGUAGUUAGUAACUGGAAACCUGAAGAGGCCGCAGACUCUAAAACCUUCACACACGGAGGACAGAAUAGAGGACACAAACCAUCUGACAGUGAGAGGAUUCAAGAGAGGCCAGACACGGCAUUCUACACUUCAAGGUUGAACCAGUAAGAACUGAUUUAUUUCCGGUUUCUACAGCUAGUGAACAGUGGAAAAUACGGUUGAUUGAUUGUGUGAAAAAAUAAAAAUGAGAAUGAAGGAUAAUGUAAUGAGGAUGAAUACUUUGGCCUCCAUUUUAACACCAGAAAACGAAUAAUUCUUAAAUGAUGUUCCUGUUUCUGGUUUUAUCAGUCCUACUUCUCGUGGAUGAAAGCAGAAGUAGGGUUACCAUGUUUCAACAGCAAUCCUGUUAUUAUCAGGGUUACAGUAAGGAGCUAAAGUGUCAAUGCAGUACUGAUCAGACAUCUUCCUACCUUCACCUUAGGAUGGAAUACUUUGUUAAAAACGCCGGACAA